GGGGGCGACCUGGCUUCGACGUGGGUUGCGAAACCUGAAGUGCAUGCCGAGAAUGAGAUCUCUCGUAAAUAAGACUCACUAAACAUAAAUGCAAACGAUGAAAACUUUGCUGGUGGUGCUAUCGCUGCCUAAUCCGCUUCGAUAGUGUUACCUUGUGCGCUGCCAUAAAACCAGCGUCCCGUUGACCGAGCCUGCUUGCCGGUAUCGACUCAGCGGUCAUAGAAGACAAGCUAGUGUCCUGGUCUAUCCCGAAUCAGGAUGCAAAAUUCAGGGAAUCGCUGCCGACCAUCCUGCCUGUCGGAGGGGAAGCAGUUAAAUCAAUAGACAAGGCUACGCAUGUAGAGCUGACGGCAGAGGAUUUGCGGACGCGGGUUCGAUUCCCGCCGCCUCCACCA
This 395-nucleotide transfer-messenger RNA is filed under the name Legionellaceae. Its description in RNAcentral is "Legionella_C rubrilucens Standard tmRNA". It matches the Rfam family "transfer-messenger RNA". Rfam says of the family: Bacterial tmRNA, also known as 10Sa RNA or SsrA, is named for its dual tRNA and mRNA-like properties. RNAcentral also lists the same sequence under 1 other name. Lineage: Bacteria; Pseudomonadati; Pseudomonadota; Gammaproteobacteria; Legionellales. The record is from RNAcentral.